The sequence is a small RNA, 286 nucleotides long. It matches the Rfam family "5' ureB small RNA". The record is from Rfam.
UCCUCGAUCUGCUGCGGGCAGAUGAAGUGGAUGUGGACGUCGAUCCCGCCGGCGGUGAGGAUGCGCCCCUCGCAGGCGAUGAUCUCCGUGCCCGGCCCGAUGAUGAUAUCCACGCCGGGCUGGGUGUCGGGGUUGCCCGCCUUGCCGAUGGCCGCGAUGCGGCCGUCGCGCAAGCCGAUAUCGGCCUUGUAGAUGCCGGUGUGGUCGAGGAUCAGCGCGUUGGUGAUCACCGUAUCCAUCGCGCCGCCGUCGCGCCCGACCUGGGACUGGCCCAUGCCGUCGCGGA